GAUCAUGGCUCAGAUUGAACGCUGGCGGCAGGCCUAACACAUGCAAGUCGAACGGUAACAGGAAGAAGCUUGCUUCUUUGCUGACGAGUGGCGGACGGGUGAGUAAUGUCUGGGAAACUGCCUGAUGAGGGGGAUAACUACUGGAAACGGUAGCUAAUACCGCAUAACGUCGCAAGACCAAAGAGGGGGACCUUCGGGCCUCUUGCCAUCGGAUGUGCCCAGAUGGGAUUAGCUAGUAGGUGGGGUAACGGCUCACCUAGGCGACGAUCCCUAGCUGGUCUGAGAGGAUGACCAGCCACACUGGAACUGAGACACGGUCCAGACUCCUACGGGAGGCAGCAGUGGGGAAUAUUGCACAAUGGGCGCAAGCCUGAUGCAGCCAUGCCGCGUGUAUGAAGAAGGCCUUCGGGUUGUAAAGUACUUUCAGCGGGGAGGAAGGGAGUAAAGUUAAUACCCUUGCUCAUUGACGUUACCCGCAGAAGAAGCACCGGCUAACUCCGUG
RNAcentral lists this ribosomal RNA (502 nucleotides) under uncultured bacterium. RNAcentral describes it as "bacterial SSU rRNA". It matches the Rfam family "Bacterial small subunit ribosomal RNA", at positions 15 to 507 of the family's 1533-position model. The record is from RNAcentral.